GUGGGGAAUCUUAGACAAUGGGGGAAACCCUGAUCUAGCCAUGCCGCGUGAGCGAUGAAGGCCUUAGGGUUGUAAAGCUCUUUCAGCUGGGAAGAUAAUGACGGUACCAGCAGAAGAAGCCCCGGCUAACUCCGUGCCAGCAGCCGCGGUAAUACGGAGGGGGCUAGCGUUGUUCGGAAUUACUGGGCGUAAAGCGCGCGUAGGCGGACCAGAAAGUUGGAGGUGACAUCCCAGGGCUCAACCUUGGCACUGCCUUCAAAACUACUGGUCUGGAGUUCGUGAGAGGUGAGUGGAAUUCCGAGUGUAGAGGUGAACUUCGUAGAUAUUCGAAGGAACACCAGUGGCGAAGGCGGCUCACUAGCUGUAUACUGACGCUGAGGAGCGAAAGCGUGGGGAGCAAACAGGAUUAGAUACCCUAGUAGUCC
RNAcentral lists this ribosomal RNA (425 nucleotides) under uncultured bacterium. Its description in RNAcentral is "partial 16S ribosomal RNA". It matches the Rfam family "Bacterial small subunit ribosomal RNA", at positions 354 to 796 of the family's 1533-position model. The record is from RNAcentral.